UCCCGGUUGGCCCGGGCGGUCUCGCGUGAAAAAUACAACACACGACAAGGGUUGCGCUCGUUGCGGGACUUAACCCAACAUCUCACGACACGAGCUGACGACGGCCAUGCAGCACCUGUCACCUGAUUCCCGAAGGCACUCCCACAUUUCUGCGGGAUUCCAGGGAUGUCAAGCCUCGGUAAGGUUCUUCGCGUACCAUCGAAUUAAACCACAUGAUCCUCUGCUUGUGCGGGACCCCGUCAAUUCCUUUGAGUUUUAAGCUUGCGCUCGUACUCCCCAGGCGGGAUGCUUAACGCGUUAGCUUCUCAGCCCAGAGGGUCGAUACUCCAAACUGAUAGCAUCCAUCGUUUACGGCGUGGACUAC
RNAcentral lists this unclassified non-coding RNA (364 nucleotides) under uncultured bacterium. RNAcentral describes it as "contains 16S-23S intergenic spacer region". The record is from RNAcentral.